GGGUUGUGAGGUUAAGCGACUAAGCGUACACGGUGGAUGCCUAGGCAGUCAGAGGCGAUGAAGGGCGUGCUAAUCUGCGAAAAGCGUCGGUAAGGUGAUAUGAACCGUUAUAACCGACGAUACCCGAAUGGGGAAACCCAGUGCAAUUCGUUGCACUAUUGCAUGGUGAAUACAUAGCCAUGCAAGGCGAACCGGGGGAACUGAAACAUCUAAGUACCCCGAGGAAAAGAAAUCAACCGAGAUUCCCCCAGUAGCGGCGAGCGAACGGGGAGGAGCCCAGAACCUGAAUCAGCGUAUGUGUUAGUGGAAGCGUCUGGAAAGUCGCACGGUACAGGGUGAUAGUCCCGUACACAAAAAUGCAUAUGUUGUGAGUUCGAUGAGUAGGGCGGGACACGUGACAUCCUGUCUGAAUAUGGGGGGACCAUCCUCCAAGGCUAAAUACUCCUGACUGACCGAUAGUGAACCAGUACCGUGAGGGAAAGGCGAAAAGAACCCCGGCGAGGGGAGUGAAAUAGAACCUGAAACCGUGUACGUACAAGCAGUGGGAGCACCUUCGUGGUGUGACUGCGUACCUUUUGUAUAAUGGGUCAGCGACUUAUAUUUUGUAGCAAGGUUAACCGAAUAGGGGAGCCGUAGGGAAACCGAGUCUUAACUGGGCGAAUAGUUGCAAGGUAUAGACCCGAAACCCGGUGAUCUAGCCAUGGGCAGGUUGAAGGUUGGGUAACACUAACUGGAGGACCGAACCGACUAAUGUUGAAAAAUUAGCGGAUGACUUGUGGCUGGGGGUGAAAGGCCAAUCAAACCGGGAGAUAGCUGGUUCUCCCCGAAAGCUAUUUAGGUAGCGCCUCGUGAACUCAUCUUCGGGGGUAGAGCACUGUUUCGGCUAGGGGGUCAUCCCGACUUACCAAACCGAUGCAAACUCCGAAUACCGAAGAAUGUUAUCACGGGAGACACACGGCGGGUGCUAACGUCCGUCGUGAAGAGGGAAACAACCCAGACCGCCAGCUAAGGUCCCAAAGUCAUGGUUAAGUGGGAAACGAUGUGGGAAGGCAUAGACAGCCAGGAUGUUGGCUUAGAAGCAGCCAUCAUUUAAAGAAAGCGUAAUAGCUCACUGGUCGAGUCGGCCUGCGCGGAAGAUGUAACGGGGCUAAACCAUGCACCGAAGCUGCGGCAGCGACACUUAGGUGUUGUUGGGUAGGGGAGCGUUCUGUAAGCCGUUGAAGGUGACCUGUGAGGGUUGCUGGAGGUAUCAGAAGUGCGAAUGCUGACAUAAGUAACGAUAAUGCGGGUGAAAAACCCGCACGCCGGAAGACCAAGGGUUCCUGUCCAACGUUAAUCGGGGCAGGGUGAGUCGACCCCUAAGGCGAGGCUGAAAAGCGUAGUCGAUGGGAAACAGGUUAAUAUUCCUGUACUUGGUGUUACUGCGAAGGGGGGACGGAGAAGGCUAGGCUAGCCGGGCGACGGUUGUCCCGGUUUAAGCAUGUAGGCGGAGUGACUUGGUAAAUCCGGUUGCUUAUCAACGCUGAGGUGUGAUGACGAGUCACUACGGUGAUGAAGUAGUUGAUGCCAAGCUUCCAGGAAAAGCCUCUAAGCAUCAGGUAACAUUAAAUCGUACCCCAAACCGACACAGGUGGUCAGGUAGAGAAUACUCAGGCGCUUGAGAGAACUCGGGUGAAGGAACUAGGCAAAAUGGUGCCGUAACUUCGGGAGAAGGCACGCUGGCAUUAGGUAAAGGGACUUGCUCCCGGCGCCGAAGCCAGUCGCAGAUACCAGCUGGCUGCAACUGUUUAAUAAAAACACAGCACUGUGCAAACACGAAAGUGGACGUAUACGGUGUGACGCCUGCCCGGUGCUGGAAGGUUAAUUGAUGGGGUCAGCCGCAAGGCGAAGCUCUUGAUCGAAGCCCCAGUAAACGGCGGCCGUAACUAUAACGGUCCUAAGGUAGCGAAAUUCCUUGUCGGGUAAGUUCCGACCUGCACGAAUGGCGUAAUGAUGGCCAGGCUGUCUCCACCCGAGACUCAGUGAAAUUGAACUCGCUGUGAAGAUGCAGUGUACCCGCGGCAAGACGGAAAGACCCCGUGAACCUUUACUAUAGCUUGACACUGAACAUUGAGCCUUGAUGUGUAGGAUAGGUGGGAGGCAUUGAAGUGUGGACGCCAGUCUGCAUGGAGCCAACCUUGAAAUACCACCCUUUAAUGUUUGAUGUUCUAACUCGGCCCCAUAAUCUGGGGUGAGGACAGUGUCUGGUGGGUAGUUUGACUGGGGCGGUCUCCUCCCAAAGAGUAACGGAGGAGCACGAAGGUUAGCUAAUCACGGUCGGACAUCGUGAGGUUAGUGCAAAGGCAUAAGCUAGCUUGACUGCGAGAGUGACGGCUCGAGCAGGUACGAAAGUAGGUCUUAGUGAUCCGGUGGUUCUGAAUGGAAGGGCCAUCGCUCAACGGAUAAAAGGUACUCCGGGGAUAACAGGCUGAUACCGCCCAAGAGUUCAUAUCGACGGCGGUGUUUGGCACCUCGAUGUCGGCUCAUCACAUCCUGGGGCUGAAGUAGGUCCCAAGGGUAUGGCUGUUCGCCAUUUAAAGUGGUACGCGAGCUGGGUUUAGAACGUCGUGAGACAGUUCGGUCCCUAUCUGCCGUGGGCGUUGGAAGAUUGAGAGGGGCUGCUCCUAGUACGAGAGGACCGGAGUGGACGAAUCACUGGUGUUCGGGUUGUCAUGCCAAUGGCAUUGCCCGGUAGCUAAAUUCGGAAGAGAUAACCGCUGAAAGCAUCUAAGCGGGAAACUUGCCUCGAGAUGAGUCUUCCCUGGGGCUUUAAGCCCCCUGAAGGAACGUUAAAGACUAUGACGUUGAUAGGCUGGGUGUGUAAGUGCAGCGAUGCAUUGAGCUAACCAGUACUAAUGAUCCGUGAGGCUUAACCUUACAACACCGAAGGUGUUU
RNAcentral lists this ribosomal RNA (2934 nucleotides) under Yersinia enterocolitica. RNAcentral describes it as "bacterial LSU rRNA". It matches the Rfam family "Bacterial large subunit ribosomal RNA". Lineage: Bacteria; Pseudomonadati; Pseudomonadota; Gammaproteobacteria; Enterobacterales; Yersiniaceae. The record is from RNAcentral.